RNAcentral lists this long non-coding RNA (286 nucleotides) under Musa acuminata (dwarf banana). RNAcentral's name for it is "long non-coding RNA (MACU_LNC000291)". Lineage: Eukaryota; Viridiplantae; Streptophyta; Magnoliopsida; Zingiberales; Musaceae. The record is from RNAcentral.
GCCCUCAAGAACACCGGCGCUGCACUCUCCGAGUUCGGCCAGAGCGAGCUCCAUGACCACGGUCAGUCUCAUGCCUCCGCCGCAGCCGCUUCUUCCUCCUCGUCCUCCUCCUCCGUCGCCGUUGGGAUGAAGCCAUCACUCCCUCCGCCUCCCCCUCCUCCCCCUUCCGACUCAUCCACCUCCCCUGCCGCCCCCAUCCAGCGCUCCGCCAGCAUGCCUGCUGACUUCGCGAUCUCCAAAUCCAAGAAGAAAUCCCUCGGCAAAAUCCCCGCCGAUGCCUCGAUCC